Molecule: long non-coding RNA, 1881 nt
Organism: Macaca mulatta (Rhesus monkey)
Lineage: Eukaryota; Metazoa; Chordata; Mammalia; Primates; Cercopithecidae
Source: RefSeq, a predicted model, not a curated record
UUAAAAAAAGAAAAGAAAAUGUAUCCAAUAUAGUAUAUCAUAAUCACAGUAUUGGGAACUUUCCCGACUCUGGUGGGAAGGAGGAGGAAGUCGUGGGCUCACUGGGGCACAGGAAAAAAUACCAGAGAAGUCCACUCCUAAUUUUAUUUCUCUCCUCUUCUGCGUUUCUGCUGUAAUGGAUUGAAAAUACACAGGAAAUGUAAUGCAAAACUUGGCUUUGAUUUUUUUUCCCCCCACCUAACCCUGUAAAGGUUUGGAAAGACUUGAUUACAUGGCAGGGAAAGUAAAAAUGCGGAUGAAAUUCCCUGACGCUCAGGCCACAUGACCAGGUGAUAAGGCCUUCUGAGACUACCAGCAGCUGCUGCUGGCUCAGGUGCGGCCUGUGUGGGAGGACUCGUGUCUCGGUGGUUACAGAGAAGCUGCUUUCCACUGUGUGAACCCGGACUGAAUCACAGGCCGCUUGUUGUUCUCCCUCGGCCUUGGAGGGCUUGGGACGUUCCUGUUGCCCAACACCCUGAAUAACAGAGCACGCCAGUGAUCAUAAGAAGAAAAAUUCACACUUAAAGUUUGGAAAGCAACAGGACAAAGGUCUGUCUUCAGUGUUCAUAGGUUUCAGAAUAACACAACUACAGUGCAAGUGGAACUUGAGAAUGAAUGAACAUCCGGGAUUGAGGAUGGAUGCAGUCAGUAACUAUUGUCACCCACUGGUGAGGGAGGAGUAUCCUAUGAAGAUGGUCUCAAAGCACUUUGAGAUGAACAGAAUGUUCUAUAAAUGGGAAUUGAAAAUAAUCAAGACAUUCAUGGAUCCAAACAGGCCACAGAAAUACCAUAGCAACAAAUGAACAAUAAUUGCUGCAUUAUGGCUCUUUCCCCAGCUGCACUCAUGCAAUCAAAGCUCUGCUGCGUCUUCAGAAGGAGCCCAGGUCAGGUCUGGCUGCCAUCACCCAUGAGGAAGACGUGCGGAGCCAGACAGAUGCCUGGAGGAAAGGUGGGUGUGUGCUGUCCUGCCCCAUCCUCUCUGUUUCCCUCCCACGUGUUGCAGAGACGUCCUCAGCGUGGAACCAGGGCCCUUGACAGAGACAUUGUCAUUCCGGACACCCCACACCCAAGCCAGUUCAUCCAAGUCACCCGAUAAUGAUGUGCUCUGAAGAAACUACCUGUUGCAGCAAACUCCUUACCUUACUGGACGUGUCGCGAUAGCCAGCGCAGGAUGAGGCCGUGGGAGGAUCUUAAUGACACAGUCCACCCUGCAAACCAAGGUCAACAAGGCGGCAGGUAUGGCCACGGCCCCUCACCGUGGACUCUGUACGAGCCAAUACACGGUGUGCUGUUCCCCAGUUAUUUCUGAAUACAGCCACAGGGAGAUGUGAACCAGCCCCACUUCCCUAGGGCACACAGAGGCUAGAAAGGAUCCACAGGACCUGUUCAACUUGCCAAUGAUCCCAAACUCCUGAUCCAGGCAGAUCACUAAGACAGAGAAAUACUCCCUUUCUAGGAAUGCCUUCUGGCCUCACCCUGCUCAAUGAUGUGUCCACUAGCUCGACACACCCCGGUUAGUGGGGGCAUCUUCUCCAGCGGUGGGGGGGACUGCAGCGGGGGCAGCUGCGGAGAUGGCAGAAUCUUUCCUGCGGGAUUCUGGAAUGUCGUAUCCCCUCUGGAAGAGACACAAGGAGUGAGGGCGACACUGGGAAGGGUGUGGGAGGGAGAGCCUUCCUUACUGCCUGGCGUCCCUCAGGGGCCAGUGACCAACCUUAUUAGCCACCUCUGUGCAUUCAACCGCUUCCUCUCUCCUGAGGCAGCCAGAGCCUGAAUAUCUCAGCAAGGCAUUAAGAAAGGCUUUAAUAAUUGAUUUAAUUAAAGUCUAAAAAUUAUAGAACCAGC